ACGAACGCUGGUGGUAUGCUUAACACAUGCAAGUCGAACGGGCAUAGCAAUAUGUCAGUGGCAAACGGGUGAGUAAUGUAUAGGAAUCUACCUAACAGUAAGGAAUAACCUUGGGAAACCAAAGCUAAUGCCAUAUAUUACCGAUUUAUCGGGAAAGAUUUAUCGCUGUUAGAUGAGCCUGUAUCAGAUUAGCUAGUUGGUGGGGUAAUGGCCUACCAAGGCGAUGAUCUGUAGCUGGUCUGAGAGGAUGAUCAGCCACACUGGAACUGCGACACGGUCCAGACUCCUACGGGAGGCAGCAGUGGGGAAUAUUGGACAAUGGGCGCAAGCCUGAUCCAGCAAUACCACGUGAGUGAUGAAGGCCUUCGGGUUGUAAAACUCUUUUAGUGGGGAAGAUAAUGACUGUACCCACAGAAAAAGCACCGGCUAACUUCGU
RNAcentral lists this ribosomal RNA (436 nucleotides) under uncultured bacterium. Its description in RNAcentral is "bacterial SSU rRNA". It matches the Rfam family "Bacterial small subunit ribosomal RNA", at positions 29 to 506 of the family's 1533-position model. The record is from RNAcentral.